GGUCAAGUUAUUAAGGGAUUACGGUGGAUGCCUUGGGUCCAAGAGCCGAAGAAGGGCGUGGUAAGACUGCGAAAAGCCUCGGCUAGCUGUCUAACGAGCUUAACCGGGGAUACCCGAAUGGGGAAACCCGU
This 131-nucleotide ribosomal RNA is filed under the name Dehalococcoidia bacterium. Its description in RNAcentral is "partial 23S ribosomal RNA". It matches the Rfam family "Bacterial large subunit ribosomal RNA", at positions 1 to 131 of the family's 2925-position model. The record is from RNAcentral. Lineage: Bacteria; Bacillati; Chloroflexota; Dehalococcoidia.